This 463-nucleotide long non-coding RNA is filed under the name Bos indicus x Bos taurus (hybrid cattle). RNAcentral's name for it is "lncRNA (ENSBIXG00000012142.1)". Lineage: Eukaryota; Metazoa; Chordata; Mammalia; Artiodactyla; Bovidae. The record is from RNAcentral.
GCCUUGGGUUCUGCGUGGAGACGUUUGGGCCCCUGUUCUGGAGUCACGUCGACUCCUUUCUACACAACUUCCGUGACAACAAACAUGUCCUGUUCCGGCCUCCCACUGACCGCCUGAUGGCCAGGGGCCGCUCCCAGCCACCCUCGGACCCUGGAGAAGGUCCGGUGCCUCCUCAGGAGCAGGAAGACCUGGGAGAGGGAGGCAGAGUCUUGCAGGGCCUAGACUCUGCUGCUGAUUUGAAGUUGGGAUAUUUUCCCUGCCAACUUUUGACCCCAAUGUCUGCAUCAUUCUGCCCCAAUGAUGAGGGUGAGGAUCAGUAUGAAAACACUGAUGAAGAGGAAGAGGAUGGAAAUGAAAAACCUGAAGGACUCUAAAUGGAUGUGGUCUCAGCAAAGAGCAGCUCUGGAUAAUACAGGUAUUGUUGUAUAGGCUUUAGUACGACAUAACCAUUCCUGACACAUAC